AUCAGUUCUUUGCCUCUCAGCACCCUGCUUUUCCCCCGAGAAAAAGAAAUUAAAGUUAUUUCUUAUGGGCUAGACAGUAUAUUGCCAGGUAUUGAAGACAGGAUUUAUCUUCUCUACUUCUUCUUUUAGAAGCAGAUCAAGAAACUGGCGAUUGAAGAGUAACUGAAAGAAACGCAAUCUGAUCUUACUAGCAGUGAAAGAGCGAGUGGAGGAAACAGAUGAAGGAAACAGCUUACACCAAGAUUUCAGAUACGAUCAUUUUGAAUAGCUAUUUCCUUUACUUUCCAGGAUUGUUUUUGUAAUCAGUUGAAAAAGAAUGCUUUUUUCCCCCUAGAGUUAGGGUUUAAAAAAUUACAUAUUUAUUAUUACACUGUUAAUAAGCUUUUUUGCAGUUUGUUUCUU
Molecule: long non-coding RNA, 402 nt
Filed under: Homo sapiens (human)
Lineage: Eukaryota; Metazoa; Chordata; Mammalia; Primates; Hominidae
Description: HSALNT0307841
Source: RNAcentral